RNAcentral lists this ribosomal RNA (866 nucleotides) under uncultured bacterium. RNAcentral describes it as "bacterial SSU rRNA". It matches the Rfam family "Bacterial small subunit ribosomal RNA", at positions 9 to 873 of the family's 1533-position model. The record is from RNAcentral.
AGAGUUUGAUCCUGGCUCAGAUUGAACGCUGGCGGCAGGCCUAACACAUGCAAGUCGAACGGUAACAGGAAGAAGCUUGCUUCUUUGCUGACGAGUGGGGGACGGGUGAGUAAUGUCUGGGAAACUGCCUGAUGGAGGGGGAUAACUACUGGAAACGGUAGCUAAUACCGCAUAACGUCACAAGACCAGAGAGGGGGACCUUCGGGCCUCUUGCCAUCGGAUGGGCCCAAAUGGGAUUAGCUAGUAGGUGGGGUAACGGCUCACCUAGGCCACGAUCCCUACCUGGUCUGAGAGGAUGACCACCCACACUGGAACUGAGACACGGUCCAUACUCCUACGGGAGGCGGCAGUGGGGAAUAUUGGACAAUGGGCGCAAGCCUGAUGCGCCCAUGCCGCGUGUAUGAACAACGCCUUCGGGUUGUAAAGUACUUUCAGCGGGGAGGAAGGGAGUAAAGUUAAUACCUUUGCUCAUUGACGUUACCCGCAGAACAAGCACCGGCUAACUCCGUGCCAGCAGCCGCGGUAAUACGUGAGGGUGCAAGCGUUAAUCGCAAUUACUGGGCGUAAAGCGCACGCAUGCGGUUUGUUAAAUCAGAUGUGAAAUCCCCGGCUCACCUGGGAACUGCAUCUGAUACUGGCAAGCUUGAGUCUCGUAGAGGGGGGUAGAAUUCCAGUGUAGCGGUGAAAUGCGUANAGAUCUAGAGAAUACCGGUGGCGACGCCGUGCACUGGACUAGNACUGACGCUCANAAGCGAAGCGUGCGAGCAAAUAGAUUACAUGCCUUGCUAGUCCACGCCGUAACNUGUCGACUUGGAAGUCGUGCCCUUGAAGCUUGCNNCUGAGCUAUNNNUNAGCUCGACGGCNAG